AAUAUUGCACAAUGGGGGAAACCCUGAUGCCGCGACGCCGCGUGAGUGAAGAAUUAUUUCGGUAUGUAAAGCUCUAUCAGCAGGGAAGAAAAUAACGGUACCUGACUACGAAGCCACGGCUAACUACGUGCUAGCAGCCGCGGUAAUACGUAGGGGGCAAGCGUUAGCCGGAUUUACUGGGUGUAAAGGUAGCGUAGGUGGCGAGUCAAGUCAGAUGUGAAAGCCCGGGGCUCAACCCCGGGAUUGCAUUUGAAACUGGUUUGCUAGAGUGCAGGAGAGGUAAGUGGAACUCCUAGUGUAGCGGUGAAAUGCGUAGAUAUUAGGAGGAACACCAGUGGCGAAGGCGGCUUACUGGACUGUAACUGACACUGAGGCUCGAAAGCGUGGGGAGCAAACA
RNAcentral lists this ribosomal RNA (397 nucleotides) under uncultured bacterium. RNAcentral's name for it is "partial 16S ribosomal RNA". It matches the Rfam family "Bacterial small subunit ribosomal RNA", at positions 360 to 774 of the family's 1533-position model. The record is from RNAcentral.